GAUGAACGCUGACAGAAUGCUUAACACAUGCAAGUCCACUUGAACUUCGGUUUGGGUGGCGGACGGGUGAGUAACGCGUAAAGAACUUGCCUCACAGAUAGGGACAACAUUUGGAAACGAAUGCUGAUACCUGAUAUUAUGAUUAUAUGGCAUCGUAUAAUUAUGAAAGCUAUAUGCGCUGUGAGAGAGCUUUGCGUCCCAUUAGCUAGUUGGAGAGGUAACGGCUCACCAAGGCGAUGAUGGGUAGCCGGCCUGAGAGGGUGAUCGGCCACAAGGGGACGGAGACACGGCCCUUACUCCUACGGGAGGCAGCAGUGGGGAAUAUUGGACAAUGGACCAAGAGUCUGAUCCAGCAAUUCUGUGUGCACGAUGAAGUUUUUCGGAAUGUAAAGUGCUUUCAGUUGGGAAGAAAAAAAUGACGGUACCAACAGAAGAAGUGACGGCUAAAUACGUG
Molecule: ribosomal RNA, 454 nt
Filed under: uncultured bacterium
Lineage: Bacteria
Description: partial 16S ribosomal RNA
Rfam family: Bacterial small subunit ribosomal RNA
Source: RNAcentral